Pelobates cultripes (western spadefoot toad) is the source of this 237-nucleotide non-coding RNA. NCBI's taxonomy places the organism in Eukaryota, Metazoa, Chordata, Amphibia, Anura, Pelobatidae. The record is from the annotation of a GenBank genome assembly.
CUUCUGUCCUCCAAGACUGUGUGGGAAAGAACUCUUCCUUCCACCCUGUAUGAACCUCCAGCAUCCAGGACUGUGCGGUGAAGACCCCUCCUCCAAGGAGAGCAUGUCAGGAACAAGCUCUUAAAAGAGCUAAGUGAUUCAAGCUCAGAGGAGCAUGCAGAGCAUAGCAAUCCCCAGUGUGAUUAUAACAGCUCCCUCCAAUAACGAGACAAGGCUACGUUUAGAGGGAUCAAGAAG